UUUUUUUAAAAGGUACACGAAACAAAAUUUUCAUUUUUUUAGAAGAUACACGAAAAGGUUAUAGGCUAUGAUUCCUGCACAAGAUACCUUUCAACAAAAAGAUGCUGAAAAUCAACAAUCAAAUUGCCGUACUGAAAAUCAAGACAUAAGGAAAAAGCCAGACGGAGACAGGAACUUUGUCGAAGCAAGAAAAAUUGCAAAGUCUUAUUGCAUCAAUAUCAAAGUGUAGUAGUACUGAAAAUCAAGAUCAAAGUUAUUUACGGCAAACUACAAGCAAGGAAAUCACAUCAUCAAAAUACUACAUCGAGCAAAACCAUCAAAGACA
Molecule: long non-coding RNA, 325 nt
Organism: Gordionus sp. m RMFG-2023
Lineage: Eukaryota; Metazoa; Nematomorpha; Gordioida; Chordodea; Parachordodidae
Exons: 4
Source: RefSeq, a predicted model, not a curated record